GAUCAUGGCUCAGGAUGAACGCUGGCGGCAUGCCUAAGACAUGCAAGUCGAACGAAGAGACCCAACUGAUAUGGAAGCUUGCUUCUGUUGAAGAUGGAUUUUCUCUUAGUGGCGCAAGGGUGAGUAACGCGUGGGUAAUCUACCUAAGAGACUGGAAUAACAAAUGGAAACGUUUGCUAAUACCGGAUUAAAUGUAAGAUGAAAUAAGUCGUAUAUUAAAAGAAGCCUCAAAGCUUCG
This 238-nucleotide ribosomal RNA is filed under the name uncultured bacterium. RNAcentral describes it as "partial 16S ribosomal RNA". It matches the Rfam family "Bacterial small subunit ribosomal RNA", at positions 15 to 217 of the family's 1533-position model. The record is from RNAcentral.